RNAcentral lists this ribosomal RNA (433 nucleotides) under uncultured bacterium. RNAcentral's name for it is "partial 16S ribosomal RNA". It matches the Rfam family "Bacterial small subunit ribosomal RNA", at positions 29 to 507 of the family's 1533-position model. The record is from RNAcentral.
AACGAACGCUGGCGGCAUGCCUAACACAUGCAAGUCGAACGAGACCUUCGGGUCUAGUGGCGCACGGGUGCUUAACGCGUGGGAACCUGCCCUUAGGUUCGGAAUAACUCCCCGAAAGGGGUGCUAAUACCGGAUAAUGUCUUCGGACCAAAGAUUUAUCGCCUUUGGAUGGGCCCGCGUUGGAUUAGCUAGUUGGUAGGGUAAAAGCCUACCAAGGCGACGAUCCAUAGCUGGUCUGAGAGGAUGAUCAGCCACACUGGGACUGAGACACGGCCCAGACUCCUACGGGAGGAAGCAGUGGGGAAUAUUGGACAAUGGGCGAAAGCCUGAUACAGCAAUGCCGCGUGAGUGAUGAAGGCCUUAGGGUUGUAAAGCUCUUUUAACCGGGAUGAUAAUGACAGUACCGGGAGAAUAAGCUCCGGCUAACUCCGUG